RNAcentral lists this ribosomal RNA (491 nucleotides) under Pachygrapsus transversus (mottled shore crab). RNAcentral's name for it is "partial 16S ribosomal RNA". It matches the Rfam family "Bacterial large subunit ribosomal RNA", at positions 1829 to 2564 of the family's 2925-position model. Lineage: Eukaryota; Metazoa; Arthropoda; Malacostraca; Decapoda; Grapsidae. The record is from RNAcentral.
GUCUGUUUGGAGAUAUAAACAGUCUAGCCUGCCCACUGAUAAGCAUUAAAGGGCCGCGGUAUUCUGACCGUGCAAAGGUAGCAUAAUCGUUAGUUUCUUAAUUGGGAUCUUGUAUGAAUGGUUGGACAAAAGAAAAUCUGUCUUUGUAGUCGUUAUUGAAUUUAACUUUUGAGUGAAAAGGCUCAAAUAAAUUAAAGGGACGAUAAGACCCUAUAAAGCUUGAUAUUAGGAGAUAUUAACCUUAAUUUUAAGAUUAUAAAGGUUUAGUGUGUAGUUUUUAUUAUAUUGGGGCGAUAGAAGUAAAAUGAUUGGUAACUGCUUCUUUUUUAGACAAAAAUAAGUGAGUAACAGGAAGUAAAGGAUCCUUUAUAAAGAUUUAAAGAAUAAGUUACUUUAGGGAUAACAGCGUUAUUUUUUUUGAGAGUUCUUAUCGAAAAAAAAGUUUGCGACCUCGAUGUUGAAUUAAAAAUUCUUUACAAUUGCAGCAGUUG